AGGGUUCGAUCAUGGCUCAGAACGUACGCUGGCGGCACGCCUAACACAUGCAAGUCGAACGAAGUAGCAAUACUUAGUGGCAGACGGGUGAGUAACAUGUAGGUAUCUGCCCUUUGGCCUGGAAUAACACGAGGAAACUUGUGCUAAUACCGGAUAAGUCUUUACGGAGAAAGCUUUAUGCACCAUUGGAUGAGCCUGCACUUGAUUAGUUUGUUGGUGGGGUAAUGGCCUACCAAGACUGUGAUCAAUAGCUGAUUUGAGAGGAUGAUCAGCCACAUUGGGACUGAGACACGGCCCAAACUCCUACGGGAGGCAGCAGUGGGGAAUCUUGCACAAUGGAGGAAACUCUGAUGCAGCGAUGCCGCGUGAGUGAAGAAGGCCCUUGGGUUGUAAAGCUCUUUCGUCGGGGAAGAAAAUGACUGUACCCGAAUAAGAAGGUCCGGCUAACUUCGUGCCAGCCGCCGCGGUAAUUC
RNAcentral lists this ribosomal RNA (473 nucleotides) under uncultured bacterium. Its description in RNAcentral is "bacterial SSU rRNA". It matches the Rfam family "Bacterial small subunit ribosomal RNA", at positions 8 to 526 of the family's 1533-position model. The record is from RNAcentral.